RNAcentral lists this long non-coding RNA (655 nucleotides) under Androctonus crassicauda. Lineage: Eukaryota; Metazoa; Arthropoda; Arachnida; Scorpiones; Buthidae. The record is from RNAcentral.
CCCUUAUCUAUAGUUAACAGUCUCUUAUAUGUCUUUGGAAACAGUCUCUUUUCUGCAACUAUUCUAAUAGAUCCAGGACAUAUCUAUAUUUAGAGUUAUGCGACGGAUGAUUGAAUUUAUCUAUACAGUCACCGUGCAUAGACCUUUACUGAAACCUAGCUAUAUCUGAAGGCCUGGUAUCAAUGGAGCCGAGGCAAAAUACUUUAAGGUUUUUACGUCGGUCGUUCGCUUUCCAUUGUUGUUUCUUCUAUUCCCGCGGUGACGAUCACCUGACCAUCGUAAAAUCGGCACGUACGAAACAGAAGACGUCAACUAUUCCCAAUUUCGUCACUGUUAUUUUAGAACUUGCUGUUUCUAUCUUUCCCAGCGGCACAGUCUCAUGCAUCCAACAUAGUCUACAUCACUCCAAACCAUAGACAAGAGACUAUUUUUUAUAAAAAUCUUGUAAAGAUAGUUCAUAGAAUCCAGUAAGAAAAGUUGUUAUAUCGUCAGUAAUACUUGUUAUGUAUAAGAAGUUACAAUUAACUAACUUUUCGAAAUUUUUUUUUAAAGUCUGAUACUAAAAUUCAUAAUUUUGAAAAUUAUGAUAAAAUUUCUUCAGUUGUUUUAAAAUUAGAUCUAAUACAUUUUCUUAACCUAUUCAUCUAAUUACGAG